Molecule: small RNA, 1379 nt
Filed under: Cryptococcus neoformans H99
Lineage: Eukaryota; Fungi; Basidiomycota; Tremellomycetes; Tremellales; Cryptococcaceae
Description: Cryptococcus neoformans var. grubii H99 hypothetical RNA
Source: RNAcentral
ACCGCUUUACGUACAGUUAAGACGGAGCAGCUCGAACCGGCUGAUAUCACAGACCAAAUUUUCAUUGGCGUCUUUUUAGACAUCUAACGAUACACCUGGUACUUCAGAUCUAUAAUUCCAAACCUUUCUUCAACGGAACACAGAAUGGCAAAAGCAAAAAGCAAUGGAUGAAGAAGGCGCAAGGGUCGUGCCUGAGGAUGAUAAGUGAAAUGAACGUGGCGAUCCACGGAUCGAGUCUGGCAAUUUCUGGUGGCAAAUUUGACUGGAAGGCUAUGAAGAGGGCAGGACCGGGAUCAAUGAUGGGGACUGCUGCUAUUCUUUCUGCGAAGUCUGGAGGAGCUUUAACAUAUACGAAGAUCUACAGUGGCGAGAUAGUCCACGGAUUUUUUCCAGAAUUUCCAUUACUAUGAUUAUUAGACCCCGCCAUUAUCAAGAUAACCCGCCAUCCGGGCGCCCUCGCUCCAUCUACAUAAGCCUCAUGCAUCUGUCCCAUGUGCUCAACACAUAAAUUGUAGCGAUUUCCGGCUCGCCUGAAGUGCUUAAAACGUCGCGAAAGAUAAAAUGGCCGGAUGUCCUGAAGGUUGAUUGUUAGGAAAAAUAGUGUACGUUCUACUACUUGUGCAAAGGUGGUCAAAGAGUGUGGAGAUAUAUGAGAGGCGGUGUCCCACCAUUAUAUGGAUGGCCGCCCGAGUGGUUGUCUUGAUCAUGGCGGAAUCUUUUGUAUGGGAUAUCCUUUCUCUGGAGGAAAAAUUCCGUGCGAACUACUAUCUCACCGCCGUAUUAACCAUCAUAAAGAUCACUUUCUGAACAAAAACUUGGGAUAUUGAAAAAUUUCGAGGUUCAAGCGAGGAGCGACGGGCCGGCAAUUUUGAGGUUCAUCCCCGGCGUCGCCAUCACCUUAUUAGCGUGCAUAGAAAUGCGAAAAGACACUACUUCAUUAUUGCAUUUGUUGCCCAAAAAGAAGCGUCAACCUAGGUUGUUAACUCCAUCCUUGUUAUUAUGACUACCACUUGACGGCCAGUUCUUCUCUUUUCAGUCCAAACCCCGAUCAUUCGACACCCAUUCUCCAUUGGAUAUCCGCCUAUAUAAUAUUUGCAGCUUCCGCUUCUCAAGCAUAACGAAAAUAUCUUACUGCGCCACUUAUCAACGACGCCUAAUAUAUGCUUGCAGUUCUUCCGAUUAUUAACAACGGCAACCAUUGUUUCAACAGUGAAGAUGAACGACGUCGCUUGCGCUGCCUGCUUCAUUUGAUCAUAAGGCAUAAUUCAUCGGGACAAAUGUAGUAAUACCAAAGGCUAGAUGCUGGCCGACAAAACCAAUAGCACAAGUUGUCAACUGUACCGGUAGGACUAUGAGGACAUGACUAUUACAUACUUCUG